AUUGAACGCUGGCGGCAGGCCUAACACAUGCAAGUCGAGCGGUAGCACAGAGAGCUUGCUCUCGGGUGACGAGCGGCGGACGGGUGAGUAAUGCCUGGGAAACUGCCCGAUGGAGGGGGAUAACUACUGGAAACGGUAGCUAAUACCGCAUAACGUCGCAAGACCAAAGAAGGGGACCUUCGGGCCUCUUGCCAUCGGAUGUGCCCAGAUGGGAUUAGCUAGUAGGUGGGGUAACGGCUCACCUAGGCGACGAUCCCUAGCUGGUCUGAGAGGAUGACCAGCCACACUGGAACUGAGACACGGUCCAGACUCCUACGGGAGGCAGCAGUGGGGAAUAUUGCACAAUGGGCGCAAGCCUGAUGCAGCCAUGCCGCGUGUAUGAAGAAGGCCUUCGGGUUGUAAAGUACUUUCAGCGGGGAGGAAGGCGAUAAGGUUAAUAACCUUGUCGAUUGACGUUACCCGCAGAAGAAGCACCGGCUAACUCCGUGCCAGCAGCCGCAGUAA
Molecule: ribosomal RNA, 504 nt
Filed under: uncultured bacterium
Lineage: Bacteria
Description: partial 16S ribosomal RNA
Rfam family: Bacterial small subunit ribosomal RNA
Source: RNAcentral